This 302-nucleotide ribosomal RNA is filed under the name uncultured bacterium. RNAcentral describes it as "partial 16S ribosomal RNA". It matches the Rfam family "Bacterial small subunit ribosomal RNA", at positions 508 to 809 of the family's 1533-position model. The record is from RNAcentral.
GCAGUAGCCGCGGUAAUACAGAGGGUGCAAGCGUUAAUCGGAAUUACUGGGCGUAAAGCGCGCGUAGGUGGUUUGUUAAGUUGGAUGUGAAAGCCCCGGGCUCAACCUGGGAACUGCAUCCAAAACUGGCAAGCUAGAGUACGGUAGAGGGUGGUGGAAUUUCCUGUGUAGCGGUGAAAUGCGUAGAUAUAGGAAGGAACACCAGUGGCGAAGGCGACCACCUGGACUGAUACUGACACUGAGGUGCGAAAGCGUGGGGAGCAAACAGGAUUAGAUACCCCUGUAGUCCCUGUCUCUUAUAU